Molecule: ribosomal RNA, 492 nt
Filed under: uncultured bacterium
Lineage: Bacteria
Description: partial 16S ribosomal RNA
Rfam family: Bacterial small subunit ribosomal RNA
Source: RNAcentral
AGUGAACGCUGGCGGUAGGCCUAACACAUGCAAGUCGAACGGCAGCACAGUAAGAGCUUGCUCUUACGGGUGGCGAGUGGCGGACGGGUGAGGAAUACAUCGGAAUCUACUUUUUCGUGGGGGAUAACGUAGGGAAACUUACGCUAAUACCGCAUACGACCUACGGGUGAAAGCAGGGGAUCUUCGGACCUUGCGCGAUUGAAUGAGCCGAUGUCGGAUUAGCUAGUUGGCGGGGUAAAGGCCCACCAAGGCGACGAUCCGUAGCUGGUCUGAGAGGAUGAUCAGCCACACUGGAACUGAGACACGGUCCAGACUCCUACGGGAGGCAGCAGUGGGGAAUAUUGGACAAUGGGAGCAAGCCUGAUCCAGCCAUACCGCGUGGGUGAAGAAGGCAUUCGGGUUGUAAAGCCCUUUUGUUGGGAAAGAAAAGCAGCAGGUUAAUACCCCGCUGUUCUGACGGUACCCAAAGAAUAAGCACCGGCUAACUUCGUG